RNAcentral lists this ribosomal RNA (490 nucleotides) under uncultured bacterium. RNAcentral's name for it is "partial 16S ribosomal RNA". It matches the Rfam family "Bacterial small subunit ribosomal RNA", at positions 30 to 507 of the family's 1533-position model. The record is from RNAcentral.
AUUGAACGCUGGCGGCAGGCCUAACACAUGCAAGUCGAACGGUAACAGGAAGAAGCUUGCUUCUUUGCUGACGAGUAGCGGACGGGUGAGUAAUGUCUGGGAAACUGCCUGAUGGAGGGGGAUAACUACUGGAAACGGUAGCUAAUACCGUAUAACGUCGCAAGACCAAAAAGGGGGACCUUCGGGCCUCUUGCCAUCGGAUGUGCCCAGAUGGGAUUAGCUAGUAGGUGGGGUAACGGCUCACCUAGGCGACGAUCCCUAGCUGGUCUGAGAGGAUGACCAGCCACACUGGAACUGAGACACGGUCCAGACUCCUACGGGAGGCAGCAGUGGGGAAUAUUGCACAAUGGGCGCAAGCCUGAUGCAGCCAUGCCGCGUGUAUGAAGAAGGCCUUCGGGUUAUAAAGUACUUUCAGCGGGGAGGAAGGGAGUAAAGUUAAUACCUUUGCUCAUUGACGUUACCCGCAGAAGAAGCACCGGCUAACUCCGUG